UACGAAGGGGGCUAGCGUUGCUCGGAAUUACUGGGCGUAAAGGGCGCGUAGGCGGCACUGUUAGUCAGGCGUGAAAGUCCUGGGCUCAACCUGGGAACUGCGCUUGAUACGGCAGAGCUAGAGGAUGGAAGAGGGUCGCGGAAUUCCCAGUGUAGAGGUGAAAUUCGUAGAUAUCAGGAGGAACACCGGUGGCGAAGGCGGAUCUCUGGGCCAUUACUGACGCUGAGGAGCGAAAGCGUGGGGAGCGAACAGG
RNAcentral lists this ribosomal RNA (253 nucleotides) under uncultured bacterium. RNAcentral describes it as "partial 16S ribosomal RNA". It matches the Rfam family "Bacterial small subunit ribosomal RNA", at positions 524 to 776 of the family's 1533-position model. The record is from RNAcentral.